CACCCCAGCUACGUAGAACGCUGGUGAUCCUGCAGGCCCUUCCUAGCACACACCAUGUGCAAACUGUCUUCCUGAGAACCCAACCAGCAUCUGGAGCAGCAGACAUGGGAGUGCACUGCUCAGACACCAGCCCUAGAGCCCCAGUGGCUGCCUGAAGAAGAUCCAGCCAGCCACAUAAGGGAAGAAACACGUGUGAAAGAUUACAACAUAUAGAGGCCCUGGCUCCCAGGCUGUGCUAUUCUUCAAGAAUGACAUCAGUAAACAGAAGCCAGCAGUUUCUUCCAUCUCAAUUGCAAAGAGCUGAGGUUAGAGACACGUCCAUUUUGGGAAUAUACCUUGAGUAAAAGUGAUGUAUCCUUAUGUGACACAUAGAGAUGUUGUAUUUGUAUAGACUGUUAUAGCUUCAGCCACAUUUGGAAAGAAACACGUGAUAAACACCAUGAUAUUGAAUUUUUUGUGCAAUUAGUUUUCCAUGAUGAGAAAAGUCUUGUAUGCCAAUCAAUAUUGAGCAUGUAGGAAAUAUAGCACAACAGAUACUAUUCCUACGUAUCAUUCAUAUUAUACAACUCCCAUAGAGUAGCUAUAAAGAGCAUCAAACAGACAGCAUAUGCUGAAGUGCCUCAGGAACUGAAAAACAGACAACAAACGUGAGUUCUGUCAGAGAGUGCUUAGGAGUGGGGAAAAUCCCUAUGCCUUGAAAGCGCAGCACAGUCGUGAUAUGGCAAAGCUAGGGUAGCCCUUCCAUUUGCAUAUAUUAUUCUGUUGAUGCCACAUAUGUCUCACGUCCUAUUUUCAAAGUCCCCAGAGAAGGAAAUAACCUCCUAUAUACUUAGCAACACCCAACGCUAUGAGCCUUGUGGCAACCACACGAAAAAUCCAAUCCUGCAAAUGCUGAUUGAGAAACUGCGCAGAAAAAGCUAGGCGUGCUGCCUAAUGGAGGUUUUACCUCAUUAGGGGAGCCCCUAAAAGGGUGUGGCUCUCCCUGGAGAAAGAUGUUCAGAGUUGAAGGGAAUUUGAUGCAAGGGAAAUUCCCCACUGCUGCCUUUGAAGACAGAGAGGUCAUGGAGCAAGAAAAGGGGUGGCUUCUAGCCACUGAGAAUGGCCCCCACAUGACAGCCUGAGACAGAAUGGAGACCUCCAUCCUACACCACAAAGAAUUGAAUUCUGCCAUCAACUUCAAUGAGCUCAGAAACAGACUGUUACCCAGAACUUCCAGAUAACACAGCAGCCAAGCCAACAGCUUGGUUUCACUCUCAUGAGAUCCCAAGGUGAAAGAUCAAUUAAGCCAUGCUUGGACUUCUGACCUACAGAACUAUGUGAUAAUAGGUGGGUGCUGUUUCAAACUGCCAAGUCUUUGAUGAUUUGCUGUGCAGCAAUAGAAAACUAAAAUAAACGUCUUGAUGAAUGUUCCUUAAGACAA
This 1420-nucleotide long non-coding RNA is filed under the name Homo sapiens (human). RNAcentral describes it as "HSALNT0083907". The record is from RNAcentral. Lineage: Eukaryota; Metazoa; Chordata; Mammalia; Primates; Hominidae.